RNAcentral lists this long non-coding RNA (533 nucleotides) under Panax ginseng (ginseng). Its description in RNAcentral is "long non-coding RNA (PGIN_LNC018645)". Lineage: Eukaryota; Viridiplantae; Streptophyta; Magnoliopsida; Apiales; Araliaceae. The record is from RNAcentral.
CUCUCUUCCCCCCUCCAUCGUUUCAAGCCUGGAAGAGCCAUCAAGCUGGUACCAUCCUCCUCCUUUAUCUAUAUAUAAUUGAGUUUUAAUAAUAGAAAAUUCCACACAUAUACAUAUAUAUAUAUAUAUAUAUAUAUAUAUAUAUUUGUUUAUAUACUCUUAUAUGUACAUGUGUGUGUUAUAGGGCGUUGAUUUAUGCUAAUCUGUGAAGAAAUUAAGAGUGAGAAAAUGAAUAGAUGCGCAUAUCAGCAGAACAACAACGCCUUUGCUUCUCUUGGAGAUUUCAGGAUGAGGGGUUCUUCUAUUUCAGACGGCGUCGUUUGCCCUAAACCUCGUCGCGUUGGUCUCUUGAAUCCUUCAAAGUAUGUCUCUUUUUUUCUUUUUUAUUUAUUUUAAAUAUGAUAUAAAAAAAAUGAGCUUUGAUUUUGAUUUUCACAUCUAACCCAUGUUUUUUAGUGUUUAUUUGUAGUUAUCAAACGGAUUUAUGUGAUUCAAGAGCAGGGCCGGAGCUUCUGGACAUUAUUCUCACGAAG